This is a long non-coding RNA of Homo sapiens (human), 2818 nucleotides long. RefSeq lists it as uncharacterized. The transcript has 2 exons. The record is from RefSeq and is a predicted model, not a curated record. NCBI's taxonomy places the organism in Eukaryota, Metazoa, Chordata, Mammalia, Primates, Hominidae.
UGAUCUGCCCACCUUGGCCUCCAAAAGUAUUGGGAUUACAGGUGUGAGCCACCGUGCCCAGCCAGCUUUAUGUUUAAAAAAGGAGUUAUUGUGUUUUAUAAACAUGAGCAAGAUAACAGAUAGAAUGCUUUCUUUACUUUCUUGCCAAAUUCAUUCCUGUCCAGGACCUACCUCAACAGUCCUAUUGCCUUUUGCUCUCUCCUUGUUCACUGUGCUUUCUUUACAUUCUUGCCAAAUUCAUUCCAGGGACUCAGAGGUUUAAAGUCUAGAUUCAUAUAGCUUGUAAAUGGUAGAGCUGGGAUUCCAGAUUUUCUUUAAAAUGCUACAGUUGGGGAGAAGGUAACAGAUAAAACAGGAUUGAUCAUGAAUUGGGAGUUCAGGAUACUAUUCUCUUGUCAUAUAUGAUUUGCAGGCUUCCAUAAUAAAAAGUUUAAAAACAAACAAAUAUAAUGAGAACCCUCCCAAUAGGUCGGGAAGUAAUUAGAAAUUAUUUAAUCAAUGGUGCAUAUUUUGUGAUAUGCAAAAGUCCCCAGCUGCUUUCUUUCUCAAGACUGUGAUCCAUGUUCGGCAAAGUGCACGUUCCAGUUGUGAUCACAGUACUGUCAUUUGCCUCUGGGCCUGUGAUUCUCAAUCCUGGCUACAAAGUGGCUUUGUUCAAGAGUCCUAGGAACUUGACUCUGCUUGUGGGUGUGUAGCUACAGAACUAACACUAUCAGAUUCUUAGCCUUUAUCCCCCUUGCCUGUAUUCCAUUUUCUGUAGAGGUUGUUGGCUUCCAUCAGGGGUGGUCAUUUCCAAUCAGACACCUAAGAACUCCUGCUAAUGGGCAAUGAUGGAGGCACAUUCUAGAUGGAGGCACAUUCUAGAAACGCUUGAAACUGUGUGUUGCUUUGGACAGCUGUUUCAGGUACGUGCUGGAGUGGGAAUGGGAUCAACCUCUCAACAUUUUUCUUGUAUGGUGAUGUGUUGUUAAUGUAAUAGCUUUGAUUUUAAAACUACCCUUAUUUCCAUACUUUCAAAUCCAACAAAUUAGGUAAUUUGCAGUUGGUUUCCUAUUCAUUGAUGCCUGUUAUUAAGGCCUAUGGUUUUCUUUCUUUAGUUAAAUAAAGUGUAUCAAGAUUAUAAAUUUAUUCUAAACAUUUGAGAAUUCAAAAUCAUGCAGCAUGACAAACUUCUUUCAUUUUACUUCUCCUCAGGUAGUAAAGAUAUAUUUUUGAAGUGACAAACACACAUUAAAAAAAACUGAAGGAGUCUAUUGUACAUGUGUUUGUUAGUAUUGUUGCAGAUUUCAUUAGAAUUCUUUCACAUCAGUCAUUUAAUGGAGUCUCAGCAUGUAGAAAGAGUGGAUGAAAGACCAUGAUUACUUAUUUACAUUUUCAAAAAUUUGUUUUCUUUAGGUGUUUUUUCCUGUUUCCACUUUAUGUUGAGUAUUAUUUACAUACAGUAUACGCAGCAUCAUAAGUUUAUGAAUGCCGGGUUUAAUGAAUCACCUAGCACAGACCGUAUAUUUAAGUAGAACACACUUACAAAUGCCUGAUAUAGAGAGCAAUGAUGUUAAUAAAUGGUUGCCACUUCCAAACUUUGGGUACCCUGCACAGAUUUCAGAACCAUGCACAGGAGAGUUAGGGUUAAUGGUUGAUAAAACUGUAAUUCAGGGAAUGUUCCUACCCACACAACCUCGCUCCUCUGCUUACAGCAUGUAUUGGUCUUCACAUCAUUCCUCGACUAUCAUCCAAACCCUUUAGGAUGGACCUUUAUAACCUGUCCAGGACCUACCUCAGCAGUCCUAUUGCCUUUUGCUGCCUCCUUGUUCGUUGUGCUUUCUUUACAUUCUUGCCAAGUUCAUUCCAGGGACUCAGAGGGUUUAAAGUCUAGGUUAAUAUAGCUUGUAAAUGGUAGUGCUGGGAUUCCAGACUAGAUUUGUUUGAUAUCUUUCAAUUUGUCUAAUUUAAAAUAAAAUAUAUUAUUUCUCUUCGGGAAAAUGGAGGAAGGAAGGCUUUACUUUCUGUAGAACAUUUAUAUAGGGGAAGAAUAAUAAUUUUUUUCUCCAACAUUCUUAGACUUAGUUGAAAUGGAUCCCUGUAAUGAAAGACUGAUUAAAAAAAUAAAAACAAACAGAAGUUCAUUAACAUGUAUAUUUCUCAUAUACAUGGGAGACACCCAGGGAGUGAGUAAUUCUCAACAAGAUAGCUUGUUCUGAAAAUAUUCCAAGGCUGAUGUUUCCUUUAAAUUAGUCUAGAGAUUGAAAUGUUAAGCACAUUGUCUCUGGAUUGAAUGUAGUCAUUAGAUGUGUUUAGUUUGAUUGCUAGUGUAAAAAAUGUUGAAUUUGAAUGUCUUUAGAGAAGACUCAUACUCUAGUUCUGCCACAAACCCUACCAUUUUCUAUUCUUUUAACAGCAGACAUUCAUUUAUAUAUUUGAGUGACCCCUGACGGCCUUUCAGAUUUGAUCUUUGCUUGAGCAUUGAGGAUGAACUGGCUGUCUAAAUGACAAAAUGAUACUCAUGUUUUGAUUAGUAGUUGUACCUUAACUUUAAAAAUUGAAAUUCAAUUGGAUUUCACCACUAGCUGUGAAGACGAGCUACGUAUCUUCUGAAACAUUGCAGCGUUAUAAGAGAAAUUAUAGACUAUUUGUUGAAGCUCAGCAUGUCCAUCUCCCUGCUUUGAAGAAGGCAAGCUUCAUUAAAACCAACAUCUUACUUGGCCUAAAACAUCUUUGGAGUAGGAGAUUUAUGGCCUUUCUGGGAAAGUAGUUCUAAUUUUUAUAAACCUUAGAAUUAAGAAGUUCUUUUGUAAAUACAAUUAUAAUUCUUUCUUCUCGA